This 197-nucleotide long non-coding RNA is filed under the name Ictidomys tridecemlineatus (thirteen-lined ground squirrel). RNAcentral's name for it is "lncRNA (ENSSTOG00000032006.1)". The record is from RNAcentral. Lineage: Eukaryota; Metazoa; Chordata; Mammalia; Rodentia; Sciuridae.
AUGUGUUUUUCCUUUGUUACCUGUUCCUUUGGUGUCUUGUAGGGAGAUCUGAGUUAUAACAAAAAUGACUACAGUUAAUGCCUUACCUAAAACUGAGGCCAAGCAGAAGAAAUAAGUUCUCAGCUCAUCUGAAAUCCCAACCCAACUCCCUGGCUGUCUGCCCUAGGACAGAUAUAAAAAUGUGCCACAAUAUUUAG